GCUGGGCACGGUGGUGCAUGCCUGUAAUCCCAGCAUCUCUGGAGGCUGGGGAAGGAGUAUGGAGGGUUCAAAGCCAGCCUCAGCAAUUUAGUGAGGCCUUAAGUAACUCAGCAAGACCCUGUCUCUA
This 127-nucleotide small RNA is filed under the name Marmota monax (woodchuck). Lineage: Eukaryota; Metazoa; Chordata; Mammalia; Rodentia; Sciuridae. The record is from RNAcentral.